ACUCAAAGGAAUAGACGGGGACCCGCACAAGCGGUGGAGCGUGUGGUUUAAUUCGAGGCUACGCGAAGAACCUUACCAAGGUUUGACAUCCCAGGAAGUUUGCCGAAAGGCAGACGUGCCGCAAGGAACCUGGUGACAGGUGAUGCAUGGCCGUCGUCAGCUCGUGUCGUGAGAUGUCAGGUUAAGUCCUUCAACGAGCGCAACCCUCAUGAUUAGUUGUAUAUGUCUAAUCAGACUGCCUCGGUAACGGGGAGGAAGGAGGGGAUGACGCCAGGUCAGCAUGUCCCUUACACCUUGGGCUACACACACGCUACAAUGGCCGGUACAAUGAGCUGCUAAGUCGCGAGAUGGAGCUAACCUCAUCAAAACCGGUCCCAGUUCGGAUUGUAGGCUGAAACUCGCCUGCAUGAAGUUGGAAUCGCUAGUAAUCGUAGGUCAGCACACUACGGUGAAUACGUUCCCGGGUCUUGUACACACCGCCCGU
This 484-nucleotide ribosomal RNA is filed under the name uncultured bacterium. RNAcentral describes it as "partial 16S ribosomal RNA". It matches the Rfam family "Bacterial small subunit ribosomal RNA", at positions 899 to 1397 of the family's 1533-position model. The record is from RNAcentral.